UUCAUUCUCACGUUUCCAAACCCAUUUUCAUAAAUUAAACCCACCUUUGAACCCCACUUUCUUCUUCUUCAUAUGCAUUAUACUUCUUUACAAUUAGUGGUUACAUAUUGAAGUAACAUUAUUUCAACCAAAGCAAAUCAAAUGGUGCAGAUUUUGGAAGACGGCUAGCAAGAAUCAAUUCCAAACAAUUGAAGGUAUACUUUAUAAUUUGAAAAUUAACGAUUUGUUGUUAUUGUUAGUUGUAUUCUACCUCCAAAUUAUGAAAGAUCAAUUAGGAAAUCAAAAUUAGCAAUGAAAUAUAAAAAUGAACAUUUGGAACUCAAUCGGCAUAGUCUUUUUGGGUUGCUAGCAUUUUCUGCUUAAAUUUUGGUGGCCGGAGAAUUUUUCUGGAACUUCCGGGGACACGGUCGACACUAGUCGGAUACGCCUGCAAUAUUGGUGGUUCUGUGCGACUCUGGGUUGUGUAAGCUUGAUUGGGCUCUGUCAUCUUCAGGCCUGUUUCUUUGUAUGGGUACUAUUUCCAAGUGGAUUUUGCUUGUGUAAUUUGGCCAUAGUUAUCAACUCUCAUCUUGUCGCUGCGCGAUCUACAUUCAGUGUAGUGUAGAAUAUUGGGCAAUUGGGAUCCAUCGUAAAGUUCUUCAGUACGGUAGCUGCUUGGUGUUCAAUUGGGCUGCUCUGUAGGCUUGCUGUUUUAGGCUUGCUAUCUCAUAUGAGCAAUCGAAAUCUAUUGUGUGGUCUUAUUCCUUUUAGUUGGGUUUGUGUAGUGUUUGGACGGUCAUUUAUUAGUGGGCUACUCAAGUAAUUAGGCAGUGAGUGAUCUUGUGGGUUGUCAGCAAUUGGGCCAAUUAUCUUAUGUUAGUUUGUGGGUUAAUUACUAUUAGACUAGUUACCUUGUUUGCGGCUCAGUGGUUACUUAUUGGACUUAUAGUUUCCCUUCAAUUAGCCUAUGGCCCAAGUACUAGUCUGUGUGGAUAAUAUCAUGUCAUUUCGAGGUGGAUGGAAUGUUAAUAAUGGCUAUGGUUUUCACUAUCGAGGUGGACAAUACACUAGAGGCAGUGGUCACUCGAUAAAUCGUAAACCUCGAAAAUGUACUUAUUAUGGUCGUAUACGUCACAUUGUUCGUUAUUGUUGGGACUUACAUUGCAAAACAUUUGCCCAUCAUGUCUCAUCUAAUGAGGAUCAUCACCCAUUAUCAGGACUAAUGCCACACUCUAGUUCAACACAAGAGUUUGACUUUUUAUGUGUAUCAAGGGAUAAGUAUGCUGAGCUCAUAAACAGACCAUUUCCACUACUAUGGCCGCUUUUGCUUAGUCAGAACUGUAUCUUUUCACAAUUUAUUUUUCUCCUUUCAUAAUCCGUAGAUUAUUUAUUCCAAAGCAACUAAACACAUGACUGACUCAUCUACUUUUCUUCUUGAUUAUUAUCUAGUUAUUUCUUUCAAAUAUGUCAUUCAUGUUAACGGCUACCAAACUAGUGUUGCAGGAUCAAGCAAUGUCCAUUUUAGUCCUAAUAUUGAUUUGUCAACGGUCCUUCAUGUUCCUGGCUUUCCCUUUAUUUUAUUGUCUAUUAGUAAAAUUACCAUAUCUCUUCAAUGUUCUGUAACCUUUUAUCUUUAUGUGUUUUUCAAGAUCUCAAGAAGAAGAGGAUGAAAGGUAUGGGGCAUAAAGUCGAUGGCAUAUAUUACAUGAAUUUUUCACUAGUCUCUCAUCCUCGAGCUCUCCAGUCUACUGUUUCACCCAUGUAGUGGUAUCGUCGUCUUAGUCACCAUUCUCCUUCCACUUUAAAACAUUAAGAUGUAAGUCUUCGUCAUGUGUCCUCCCUUGAUUGAGAAGCUUGUCAGUUUAUUUAACAUCAUCGUG
RNAcentral lists this long non-coding RNA (1859 nucleotides) under Olea europaea (common olive). RNAcentral describes it as "long non-coding RNA (OEUR_LNC012487)". The record is from RNAcentral. Lineage: Eukaryota; Viridiplantae; Streptophyta; Magnoliopsida; Lamiales; Oleaceae.